CUGAGCCACCCAGGCAUUCCUGUCUCUCUUAAUCCAUUUGGCCAUUAACAAGAAGACACUAGAACACUGGACAGUGUCAAAUUCAGAGUCCCAGAAGGUGGCCUCUCAUGGGCUCAGUAAAAGGUUGGUUCAAGAAACGGCGGGCUUUAUGAUUAACAGGAAGGACCUCAACUGCAAGCCAGUCUAUGCCGGUUACUCAGCCUGUGAUACCUGUGGCUCGCUCUUCCCCUUCCUGCUUUAUCGACUUCCAAGAUUUCACUGGGAGAUGAAACUAUAGCAGGGACCGUUCGGCCGGGGAUGGAAGCCUCUCAGCCAGAUGCCACGGGGAACCACUAGCAGGCUCCCUCAGCGACAACAACAACAACG
This is a long non-coding RNA of Prionailurus viverrinus (fishing cat), 366 nucleotides long. RefSeq lists it as uncharacterized. The transcript has 3 exons. NCBI's taxonomy places the organism in Eukaryota, Metazoa, Chordata, Mammalia, Carnivora, Felidae. The record is from RefSeq and is a predicted model, not a curated record.